CACCAGCUUAUUCCAAAGGGCUUUACAAUAAAAGUGGAAUUUACCAAAGGAGACCAUAACAAAAUGUAACAGGAACAAUAGGUAGUUAAGGGACCCUGCUCAAAGGAGCUUACCGUCUAGAGGAGGUGGGGUACAAAAACACAAUAGGAAGGGUAUUGAGAGAGACAGCAAAUAGACAUGGUGGGAAAGUAGCAGAACUGGAGGUGAAGGUUGAG
Molecule: long non-coding RNA, 215 nt
Filed under: Pelobates cultripes (western spadefoot toad)
Lineage: Eukaryota; Metazoa; Chordata; Amphibia; Anura; Pelobatidae
Source: RNAcentral